AUUGAACGCUGGCGGCAUGCCUUACACAUGCAAGUCGAACGGUAACAGGUCUUCGGAUGCUGACGAGUGGCGAACGGGUGAGUAAUACAUCGGAACGUGCCCAGACGUGGGGGAUAACGAGGCGAAAGCUUUGCUAAUACCGCAUACGAUCUAAGGAUGAAAGCAGGGGACCGCAAGGCCUUGCGCGUUUGGAGCGGCCGAUGGCAGAUUAGGUAGUUGGUGGGAUAAAAGCUUACCAAGCCGACGAUCUGUAGCUGGUCUGAGAGGACGACCAGCCACACUGGGACUGAGACACGGCCCAGACUCCUACGGGAGGCAGCAGUGGGGAAUUUUGGACAAUGGGCGGAAGCCUGAUCCAGCAAUGCCGCGUGCAGGAUGAAGGCCUUCGGGUUGUAAACUGCUUUUGUACGGAACGAAAAGGCUCUGGCUAAUACCUGGGGCACAUGACGGUACCGUAAGAAUAAGCACCGGCUAACUACGUG
RNAcentral lists this ribosomal RNA (482 nucleotides) under uncultured bacterium. RNAcentral's name for it is "partial 16S ribosomal RNA". It matches the Rfam family "Bacterial small subunit ribosomal RNA", at positions 30 to 507 of the family's 1533-position model. The record is from RNAcentral.